CGCGGCCUAUCAGCUUGUUGGUGGGGUAAUGGCUCACCAAGGCGACGACGGGUAGCCGGCCUGAGAGGGUGACCGGCCACACUGGGACUGAGACACGGCCCAGACUCCUACGGGAGGCAGCAGUGGGGAAUAUUGCACAAUGGGCGGAAGCCUGAUGCAGCGACGCCGCGUGAGGGGUGACGGCCUUCGGGUUGUAAACCUCUUUCAGCAGGGAAGAAGCCACAAGUGACGGUACCUGCAGAAGAAGCGCCGGCUAACUACGUGCCAGCAGCCGCGGUAAUACGUAGGGCGCGAGCGUUGUCCGGAAUUAUUGGGCGUAAAGAGCUCGUAGGCGGUUUGUCGCGUCUGCUGUGAAAGCCCGGGGCUCAACCCCGGGUCUGCAGUGGGUACGGGCAGACUAGAGUGCAGUAGGGGAGACUGGAAUUCCUGGUGUAGCGGUGAAAUGCGCAGAUAUCAGGAGGAACACCGAUGGCGAAGGCAGGUCUCUGGGCUGUUACUGACGCUGAGGAGCGAAAGCAUGGGGAGCGAACAGGAUUAGAUACCCUGGUAGUCCAUGCCGUAAACGUUGGGCACUAGGUGUGGGGGACAUUCCACGUUCUCCGCGCCGUAGCUAACGCAUUAAGUGCCCCGCCUGGGGAGUACGG
RNAcentral lists this ribosomal RNA (644 nucleotides) under uncultured Actinomycetes bacterium. Its description in RNAcentral is "bacterial SSU rRNA". It matches the Rfam family "Bacterial small subunit ribosomal RNA", at positions 232 to 885 of the family's 1533-position model. Lineage: Bacteria; Bacillati; Actinomycetota; Actinomycetes. The record is from RNAcentral.